CCACACCGCAGACAGGCUCUAAUUACACCCUUCGGCCGCUCGUUACAUUAGCACAUGUUUCACCUACAUGUCUGCAGUGCUGUGUAAGGAGGAGGUAACUAUUUUAGGGCCAGGGGAACAGAAGUGACUGGCAGAAGAUCCCCUCGCUGCACCAGGUCUCCCAGUUUGGGGUGAAGCCACGUCUUUGGGUACCCAGCGCAGCCGUGAGGCCAAAAUGAUGCUCUUUGGGCCAAUGACCUCUCGCUCCUCUCCUAUAGCGAUGCUAUAGCGUGAUUUCUCUGGAGACAGCAUCUUGCUGGGUAAGAUGUGGUGUGUGACGGUCAAGAGGGCAAGUCCUAAUGGUCAAGAGGGCAAUUCCGCUCUUUGCAAGAGGGGAAUUACGCUGCCGGGGCGAGGCAACAGGCCCCAGAAUAUUGGAUGGAGGGACACAGUGCUGUCCUCACCCACCUGCCCACGCAGCAGUGAUUCAGCAGGCGCCCGGAUAAGGCUGCGCCCAGCUCCUCCUCUGCACCUUACAGGUAUUUGCACACGCAAAUAAAGCUGCUGAAAAAUA
This is a long non-coding RNA of Aquila chrysaetos chrysaetos, 553 nucleotides long. RefSeq lists it as uncharacterized. The record is from RefSeq and is a predicted model, not a curated record. Lineage: Eukaryota; Metazoa; Chordata; Aves; Accipitriformes; Accipitridae. The transcript is spliced from 2 exons.